Molecule: long non-coding RNA, 378 nt
Filed under: Spirodela polyrhiza (greater duckweed)
Lineage: Eukaryota; Viridiplantae; Streptophyta; Magnoliopsida; Alismatales; Araceae
Description: long non-coding RNA (SPOL_LNC002480)
Source: RNAcentral
CUUCGAUCUGCCCGAUCCGGCCACAUCCAGAUCUCGCCGUCCUCCCCUACCCUCCUCUCCGAUGCAAGCCGCCGUGCUCCGCGGUGCUCAACCCCUUUUGCCGCGUGGACUUCGCAGCCAAGAUCUGGAUCUGCCCCUUCUGCUUCUCCCGCAACCAUUUCCCUCACCACUACGCCGGCGUCUCCGAGACCAACGUCCCCGGGGAGCUGUACCCGCAGUAUACCACCAUCGAGUACGCCCUCCCCGCAUCCCACGACCCCGCCGCCGCAGCCGCCGCGGCGUCGCCGGUGUUCUUGUUCGUGCUCGACACAUGCCUCAUCGAGGAGGAGCUGGAAUUCGUCAAGUCCGCGAUGCGGAGGGCCAUCGGGCUACUCCCGG